RNAcentral lists this unclassified non-coding RNA (422 nucleotides) under Hevea brasiliensis (rubber tree). The record is from RNAcentral. Lineage: Eukaryota; Viridiplantae; Streptophyta; Magnoliopsida; Malpighiales; Euphorbiaceae.
GAAAGAACAGAUGUAAUAGAGCUAGAAAAAAUAUAAAAAUUUAGAGUAAAAAUCCACUAUAUUAAUUUGUAUUAACAGAUGAUUGACAAAAUUAAUGGCAGAAAUUGUUAAAGACAAAUCAUAGGUGCCAUUUAUAAAGUUCUACCAACUGCAAACAUCUGUUAAAUUUGAUAUCUUAUGCAUGCCAGUUGAGUUGUAAAGUCCUUGGAACUGUAAAAAACAAUGAAAAUUGACAAACACCACAAUGCAUGGAUCAAAUAUAGUGAACUAUCCACCAAACACUAGGUCAAUAAUUGCUUUCAAAGGCACAUAUGAUAAAUCAGAACAAGAAUGAUGAAACAGCACGUGAGCCAUGUAAGAAACAAAGAUGAGAGAUAAACACAUGAGAGCUAUAUGAUUAAGAUAUUAAUGAAGAUAACCAA